CCUACGGGAGGCAGCAGUGGGGAAUCUUGCGCAAUGGGCGAAAGCCUGACGCAGCCAUGCCGCGUGAAUGAUGAAGGUCUUAGGAUUGUAAAAUUCUUUCACCGGGGACGAUAAUGACGGUACCCGGAGAAGAAGCCCCGGCUAACUUCGUGCCAGCAGCCGCGGUAAUACGAAGGGGGCUAGCGUUGCUCGGAAUUACUGGGCGUAAAGGGAGCGUAGGCGGAUAGUUAAGUCAGAGGUGAAAGCCCAGGGCUCAACCUUGGAAUUGCCUUUGAUACUGGCUAUCUUGAGUAUGGGAGAGGUAAGCGGAACUCCGAGUGUAGAGGUGAAAUUCGUAGAUAUUCGGAAGAACACCAGUGGCGAAGGCGGCUUACUGGCCCAUUACUGACGCUGAGGCUCGAAAGCGUGGGGAGCAAACAGGAUUAGAUACCCUGGUAGUCCACGCCGUAAACGAUGAGAGCUAGUUGUCGGCAUGNAUGCAUGUCGGUGACGCGAGCUACGACAUAAGUACUCUCCGUCCGUCGGGUAGGUACGGUCGCGAGAAUUAAACUUAAAUUAAGUAAGUUAGUACGGCGUGAGACGUGCCGAACGGACGACGACGAGGGAGGUAGG
RNAcentral lists this ribosomal RNA (612 nucleotides) under uncultured bacterium. RNAcentral's name for it is "bacterial SSU rRNA". The stretch from base 1 to 519 matches the Rfam family "Bacterial small subunit ribosomal RNA", at positions 338 to 873 of the family's 1533-position model. The record is from RNAcentral.